Molecule: long non-coding RNA, 2893 nt
Filed under: Oryctolagus cuniculus (rabbit)
Lineage: Eukaryota; Metazoa; Chordata; Mammalia; Lagomorpha; Leporidae
Description: lncRNA (ENSOCUG00000035919.1)
Source: RNAcentral
GGGAUGCAGGCUUCCUGGAGUCGGGCCCUUGCUCUGCUGGGCCGCCAGGAGAAUGUGACACUGUGACAGUUGCAAUUGACCUAUCGUGAACUGUCCAGCUUUGUUUACAAAAAUACCAAGGAUCAGAGUUCACCUCUCCCUGAGGAAACUCCUGUUCAGGGAAAAACAAGAAAACCAAUCUAGGAGUGUCUAAUGGCUUCGUUUUAUUGCUCACUUCUUUCUCCUAUACUUAUUUUUAAUAGUUUCUUUGGAAAAUGAAUGUUGAUUAGAUUUAGGGCACCAUGAGAUAUUUUCCAUGGUCCGGAGCAACCACGGGGUUCCAUUUGGGGUACAUUUUCCUUUUGUUCAGCCAGUGGUUACUGCAGACUCCGUUUUGCCUCCACGUCUGAACACUUCCCUCCUCCGAAGUUCACCACGGGCGUCACGAAGGAUCCAUCCACAGUCACUUUCUGACAGAUCAGCACUGGCUUGAUCCCAGAGGAUGGGAGACCCAGCAAGACGGGGCUGGCAGGGGCCCACCCUGGCUGGCCUGAAGCCCUUGACCGCGUCAACACAAUCCGAAAGACCUGGGCAGCUGAAAGCAGAGCUGCCUCUGACAACAGCUCUGAGAGGCACUGAUGGGACCCUGGACUGUGGAUGCAGCAGGACACGGGUUCUCUUCGGCCUCGGGGGACCUGCGUGGUGUGUUGGGGACCCGCCCAGACUCAGUGCCCAGACUCCUCAAGGCCUGCCUACCUGGAGGGGGGAGGAAGGCAAGGAGGUGGUUAUUCCAUGGAGAGGAAAAUCAACUAUUGUGAGAUCAAGGCAGCUGCUUGUCCCUUGGCUUCACUCACUGGCCAAACUAGCUAAAUUCCUUUCACACAGGGAAAUGCAGGCUGGGAUCACAUAACUCCCGUGAAGCGGAAACUGGAUGAAUUCAUGCCCUAAGAAGAAUGGAUGCUAAGACCUCCUGAUCAAAGACACCUACAGCAAAAGGCCUGAAGGAGAAGCCUCGGGAUCCCGAUUCCAGUCUUGGUUGCUACUGGCUUGUGUGGGAGCUCCUGUAAUAAGCUCCCUUCCUGGAGCCUGGGUGCACGCCCAGAGGAGCUGCCUUCCUGUGUUGGACAGUUAAGGAAGGCCCUCGUGACCAGGUGAGAGCUGAACAGAGAGCUAAAGGAGACAGGAAAGGGAGCCACACAGGGGAACGGGCUUCUCCGAGGUGAGGGAUGUGUGACUUCUGGGCCAGGGAUAUGGAUGGCUUCCUGGAGGAACAGCAGCAAGGCCAAGGUGUCGGGCAGGGUGGGCAGAAGUAGAACUGGCCAGAGAGUGCGUGCUUAUGACCGUUGGAGUGACAGGACCUGAGGGACAUGUCACAGUGCUCACUCCUGCUGCAGCGUGGAGUGUGGGAUGAGGGCAGAGACCAGACAGGAGGCUUCUGCUGUCAUCCAUAGGUGGUCCAGGGAGGGGGCUAGGGGAGAAUGUGCCCACCGUUGCCUCCAGUAUGAGCAGGAAGCGACAGGUGCCUCAAAAGAAGUGUAGGAGGCUGAUGCUGGCCAGAAAGAUUGAGCUGGGCCUCCUCAAGUGGAGACAGCACACAGAGGGCUGGCAGGUUGAAAGUGGAAUUGGCAUGAACAAAGGCAUCCGUGAGAAAAGCAAAGCCGUGGGCUGGAAAGAGCGCUGGGAAGUGAUUGGGAGAGUGGAGGCUGGCUGCCUAGCCUCAGGGUCUUCCGCAUAAGACGGAGACGGAGACGGAGAUGGAACCCUCAUUUACUCACUGGGCCAUCGCAAGGCAGGUUCUUGGAGGGCGGGGGGUUUCUGAGGCCCGUUGUGGAGGAAGCGCUCCCUCCUGUGACUACAAGGCCAGAAAAUGGGAGGAGGCUGAAACGUUGGCAUGGACGCGCAGAAACAUGGCCCCUCGGGGAGGGCCCCUCAGGAAGAGCCCGGGAUGCCAGGCUCCAGGCCCAGUGCAAGGACAGCUGCCCAGAGCGUCCCAGAGUCACAGGAUCCCAAGUCACCAGGGCACCAGCAUGGGGCCCUGCGAGCUGGACUGCAGUAGGGGUCCCGGGGUCCCAGCUCAUGCUAUGCCGGUGCUGCUUAAGAAUUUUUUUUUUUUUUUUAGUUAGUUGGUUGGGCUGGGCAUCAUCUGGGUCAUGGGUGGACCCUCUGUAAAAGCAACCAUCUGCCCAGGGCAGCGUCAGCAGUGGCGAGGCACAGGGCACGGAGUGUGGGUACAGAAGGAAGCAGGUGGCCUGUGGUUGCAGGGGUGCGCUCUGGGCAGUUUAGAGAAGCCAGCCUUGUUCCCAGGUGAAGCCGGCCAGGCCCGGGCCUGGGCUCAGGUUCUUGUCCCAGCUCCAUUGCACCUAAGUUGCUUGCUGUCCCUAAAUAAUUCUUGCCUCCUCUCUGAGCCACAGCUUCCUUUUCUGUUUAGGAAAAAAAAAUGCCAGGAGGGCUGAGCUGGACAAACUCUGAAGUCCCUUCCAGCUCCAAGUUUCUCUGUUUAUCAGACAGCCUAAUCUCUGCAAGAGCACUUGUGACGGCUGCGCCUGGAGACAGUCUUGGCGGACUCUGGGGUUACACAGAGGGCACUGAACACCCCUGCCAUCAAGAUAAGACAGGAGCACCUCUCCUGGGGCCCGGCCUUUCUCCCUGUGGUUCAUAGGCAGCUGGGGGGCCCGCUCAGAUCUGAGAGCCCCUCCGGGACUGUCAGAUUUAACCCUUACCGGGCUGCAGCAUUCGGCGGGCGCAGGUGGCGGCGGUAGGUGGGGCUUGUCCCACAUCCCAGGCACUGGGUGCUCGCUUGGCCCUUUGUCAGCUCAAACAAGUGAAUUGGGUUUCGAUCCCUCUGAUGGGAAGCCUCGUGAUGUCAUGGUGUGAAAAGCAAAGAAAAUAAAUGCCUUUGAUUUUGGAUAAAUCA